GCAAUAGUAGCUCAAAAUAGAGCGUUGGUCUUGUAAACCAAAGGUUAAGUAUUUUACUUCUAUUGCU
Molecule: transfer RNA, 67 nt
Filed under: Mammilla mammata
Lineage: Eukaryota; Metazoa; Mollusca; Gastropoda; Littorinimorpha; Naticidae
Description: tRNA-Thr
Rfam family: tRNA
About the family: Transfer RNA (tRNA) molecules are approximately 80 nucleotides in length. Their secondary structure includes four short double-helical elements and three loops (D, anti-codon, and T loops).
Source: RNAcentral